Molecule: ribosomal RNA, 490 nt
Filed under: uncultured bacterium
Lineage: Bacteria
Description: partial 16S ribosomal RNA
Rfam family: Bacterial small subunit ribosomal RNA
Source: RNAcentral
AUUGAACGCUGGUGGCAGGCUUAACACAUGCCAGUCGAACGGUAACAGGAAUUAGCUUGCCUCUUUGCUGACGAGUGGCGGACGGGGGUGUAAUGUUCGGGGAUCUGUCCUAUUGAGGGGGAUAACUACGGGGAACAGUAGCUAAUAUCCCGCAAAAGCUCCGGGGUUAAGGGUGGGAGUUCUUAGCCACUUGCGAUAAGAUGUGCCCAAGUGGGAUUAGGUAGUUGGGUGGGUAAAGGCUGACCACGCCGACGAUCUCUAGCUGGUCUGAGAGGAUGACCAGCCACACUGGAACUGAGACACGGUCCAGACUCCUACGGGAGGCAGCAGUGGGGAAUAUUGGACAAUGGGGGGAACCCUGAUCCAGCCAUACCGCGUGGAUGAAGAAGGCCUUCGGGUUGUAAAGUUCUUUCGGUGAGAAAGAAGGUUAGUAGGUUAAUACCCUGUCGUUUUGACGUUACUCACAGAAGAAGCACCGGCUAACUUCGUG